Long non-coding RNA from Hypanus sabinus (Atlantic stingray), 1831 nucleotides. RefSeq lists it as uncharacterized. The record is from RefSeq and is a predicted model, not a curated record. Lineage: Eukaryota; Metazoa; Chordata; Chondrichthyes; Myliobatiformes; Dasyatidae. The transcript has 5 exons.
AGCAAAGUUCUGUCAUGCACUGACCACAUAGUAUACAAAGCCGAAGUGUACGACAGAAGCUUUGACUUGGGAGAACUUGGGGUUCGAGAUCCUCGCACGGCAGGAGCCCCCCCGGAGCGGCAGAUCAUUUCCUGAAGACGAAAAGUUGGGAUUUUUUGACAUUAAAGCAAAAACGCACACGGCUCUCAGAUUAUUUCGACAGCCAGCAGCAAAACGCCAGCGAGGCAGGCACAGCGUAACGUUUGAGAGACGUCCAUGUAUGUGAAACGGCGCAGGCAGGAUGCCUAAGACUUCUGCACACAGUGUUAAAUUUGUCAACAUGGAGCGGAGAGCGAGUUUGUAAAUCUGGCGGGAGCAAAGGAUGUUGGGAAUGCACGAUACAUAAAAUUACUACAGUACUGUAAAAGUCUUGGGCACCCCUGUUGUGCCUAAGUACUGUAAGAUGAGGCGCGCCCGCCAGUCCUCACUGAAGGAUCAGGAAUAGAGACAGUGGGCAAUUUCAAAUUCCUGGGUGUCAACAUCUCUGAGGGUCAAUCCCAGGCCCAACUUAUCGAUAUACCUACAAAGAAGGCACGUCGUGGCUGUCUUUCAUUCGGAGUUUGAGGAGAUCAGAAACUUCUACAGAUGCUGCCUGGCCUGCUGUGUUCCACCAGCAUUUCGUGUGUGUUGUUGUCUGAAUUUCCAGCACCUGCAGAUUUCCCUGGUGUUGGCAGAAAGUUUGUAAACUCAGUCAGUUCCAUCGUGGGCAUCGGCCUGCCCCAGCAUCCAGGACGAGACCUUGGAAGAAGCUACGUGACAAUUUUAACACCGUAAAGCAGCGAGUCGUUUUGUUAUGUCACCCCUCUAGCUGUGAAAACGGGGACAUCUCUUUUUCCCUUAUUAGGGAGGGGGACAGAGCCUGUGGUGAUGUCUCAAAACGGCAGCGUCCAUCAUUAAGGACCCCCACCACCCAGGGACGUGCCCUCUUCUCAUUGCUACCAUCAGGGAGGAGGUACAGGAGCCUGAAGGCACACACUCAACGAUUCAGGAACAGCUUCUUCCCCUCUGCCAUCAGGGAGGGGGUACAGGAGCCUGAAGACACACACUCAAUGAUUCAGGAACAGCUUCUUCCCCUCUGCCAUCAGGGAGGAGGCACAGGAGCCUGAAGGCACACACUCAACGAUUCAGGAACAGCUUCUUCCCCUCUGCCAUCAGGGAGGAGGUACAGGAGCCUGAAGACACACACUCAACGAUUCAGGAACAGCUUCUUCCCCUCUGCCAUCAGGGAGGAGGUACAGGAGCCUGAAGACACACUCUCAACGAUUCAGGAACAGCUUCUCCCCUCUGCCAUCAGGGAGGAGGUACAGGAGCCUGAAGGCACACACUCAACGAUUCAGGAACAGCUUCUUCCCCUCUGCCAUCAGGGAGUAGGUACAGGAGCCUGAAGACACACACUCAACGAUUCAGGAACAGCUUCUUCCCCUCUGACACCAGAUUUCUGAAUGGACAAUGAACCUGUGAACACCACCUCACUACUUUUUUGUUCUCUUUUUGCACAACUUACUGAAUAUAGAUGUUUAAAUAAAUAAAUAUACUAUGAUGCACAGUUUUAUAUUACAGUAUUUUGUGUUGUAAUAUAGUGCCGUUGCAUAACAACAAAUUUCAUGACAUAUCCUAGCACUGUUAAACCGGAUCUCGAUGAUUUAUUUUUAAUUUUUAUAUGUACGCUUAUUUGAUUUCAUUUACAUUUUUGGUUUAAUUCAAGUGUUUUUGUAAUUUACUGUUUUUAUCGUUAUGUACUGCAUUGAACUGCUGCUGCAGAGGUGAUAUUAAACCCGAUUCUGAUGUGCAA